UACGGGGGGGGCAAGCGUUGUUCGGAAUUACUGGGCGUAAAGGGCUCGUAGGCGGCCAACUAAGUCGGACGUGAAAUCCCUCGGCUUAACCGGGGAACUGCGUCCGAUACUGGAUGGCUUGAGUUCGGGAGAGGGAUGCGGAAUUCCAGGUGUAGCGGUGAAAUGCGUAGAUAUCUGGAGGAACACCGGUGGCGAAGGCGGCGACCUGGGUAGAUACUGACGCUGAGGUGCGAAAGCGUGGGGAGCAAACAGG
This 253-nucleotide ribosomal RNA is filed under the name uncultured bacterium. Its description in RNAcentral is "partial 16S ribosomal RNA". It matches the Rfam family "Bacterial small subunit ribosomal RNA", at positions 524 to 776 of the family's 1533-position model. The record is from RNAcentral.